Gopherus flavomarginatus (Mexican gopher tortoise) is the source of this 261-nucleotide long non-coding RNA. RefSeq lists it as uncharacterized. Lineage: Eukaryota; Metazoa; Chordata; Testudines; Testudinidae. The record is from RefSeq and is a predicted model, not a curated record. The transcript has 3 exons.
GGUCAUGGCAUGUCCCUGGUAUAAAUCAUCAGCAAAGGAAACCUGGAAGUAAAGCCCCAAGGAAAAGCUGAAAAAUGAGAACUAUUCUGGAGCUUCUUCUUGGGGAAAAAUUGCAGCAGGAAUAUCACGAUCGGUAACGAAUCAGAUACUCAUGGAUUACAGCCUGACUAAUGCUGACAGACACCUACUUACUCAUCACGUUUAAGUGAAAUGUGUGAACUAUUCAGAAAAUGCUGUUUCUUAUGUAUAUUGUUAUCUGGA